This 1662-nucleotide long non-coding RNA is filed under the name Olea europaea (common olive). RNAcentral describes it as "long non-coding RNA (OEUR_LNC008412)". Lineage: Eukaryota; Viridiplantae; Streptophyta; Magnoliopsida; Lamiales; Oleaceae. The record is from RNAcentral.
ACCAAAUACCCAACCCCCGAUCCCAAUCAACCACUAAUACUUGACCACAAAUCAACCAAAUAGACUACAAACACUCUUCAUCCCAUCCCGUCGUCACCAUUGCCUCCAUUACCGCCACAACUCCAACAAAAACCACCGGACACUAAAACAUGAAAAACCAACAAAUCCAACAAAAGCCACCACCACGGCAAUACUACAAACCAAGCAGACACACUACCGUGGUCAUAGAUCACACGCAGCACCGUCGUUCACAAGAUCCCGCUGAGCUGUAGCGAGCGGAUGAACAUCAAAUCUCGGAACCAGCCCACCAACAGCACCACAAAAUCAGUUAAAAACCACCACAAAUCCAUCUUAAAAAUCACCACAAAAACCACCACAAACCGCUACUACUCCAACAACGAGAGCUCCACUUCAAUGAAGAAAAAAAGAUAGUGGAGAGAUAUAUCUCCGCUAUUGCCAAAGCAAUGGUUGCAUUGGUGCUCACAGAGGCGCCUGAAAGGCUCCUUCACACGAUAUUAAAUCCAAGAAACAAGAAAAACCUUAAUCGAAUAGAAAUAAAAAUUGCAGAAAAAUUGAAAAUGAACAGAAAGGAAUUAUUUCGGCCUAAGCCCCGAAAAUUCGAUGACCGCUUCUAACGCCUACAUCCCCCGUUGAGCAUCCAAAGAUUUGGAUUACGUUCGGUUGCAAUAAACAACCAAAAUGGCAACAAAAAUUACAUAUUAUUCAGAGAGAUGAAAAUGAGACUUAUCUCUCAAGAAUAGUGAUGGAUCUACAGAGAUUCACUAAGAUCUCAGCCCUCAAACCCUUUGAACAUCACCACGAAGUUACAAUAGAGAAAUCACUCAGAUUUCUUCACUAUCCACAUAGAAUAUUACAAAUCGAAGGAAGACCUCAAUACACUAUACAAAAAAUCAAAGAUUUUAAGCAUGAAACACUACAGAAAAGAUCAUCUCUCUCAAAUCGCCCUUUUUCUCCUCCAAAAAUGCUAGAGACAUAAUGAACCAAGAGAAUGAAAAAGUCAGUCAUUGCAAAAGACUCUAGCCUUUUAAAGAAGGCAGAUGAACUGGCACAAGGAGUCCAAAGAAUAUCUUCCAUCCAACGUCCAGAAUUUAUCCACGUGUUAGUCAUCCAAUUAAGUUACCACCACUUAUUAAGUCGCACUUCACAUAAACACGAUUUACCAAGAUUCAAAUUCUAGAAGCACCAAAUGUACAGAACAGGGUUCGUCUCCAACAGUGCCACUCCAAUGAAGAUAGAAAGACCACCACAAAACACCCAUUAACACCACCUUAAAACCGCCAAGAAACACUGACAACAACACCACAAAAUCGUUACAAAAAUCACCACAAACCACCAUAGAACAACACAAAAUUGCUGAAGCAGCAACAUGCCAGUCGUGGCUCAAUUCAUUGUUGCAUAUCACGGCUCAGAUUUCGAUCUGAGCGUCGUGACUUAGAUUUCGAUCUGGGCUUCGCAGAGACGCCGUUCUGAUGAAGAAAGAAAAGAAAAAUAAAUGGAGAAAAUGAGGUGGAGGAGGAAAAAGCUACCUUGGUGAAGAUGAAAAUAGGUUUGGUGUGAAUUGGGAUACGGUGUGGUGGGUUGAGGUUGGGGUUGACGUUUGGAUAAAUCAAUACCUGAUUUAUGAUUAAUCAAAUGUUGAAC